This 487-nucleotide ribosomal RNA is filed under the name uncultured bacterium. RNAcentral describes it as "bacterial SSU rRNA". It matches the Rfam family "Bacterial small subunit ribosomal RNA", at positions 28 to 524 of the family's 1533-position model. The record is from RNAcentral.
GACGAACGCUGGCGGCGUGCCUAACACAUGCAAGUCGAGCGGGGUCCAUCCAGUGGCAACACUGGUGAAGACCUAGCGGCGAACGGGUGAGUAACACGUGAGGAACCUGCCCCGAAGACCGGGAUAACCCGAGGAAACUCGAGCUAAUACCGGAUACCCCCACGGAAUCGCAUGAUUCUGUGAGGAAAUGUCUUUUCGCUUCGGGAGGGCCUCGCGGCCUAUCAGCUUGUUGGCGGGGUAACGCCCACCAAGGCAUCGACGGGUAGCUGGUCUGAGAGGACGAUCAGCCACACUGGGACUGAGACACGGCCCAGACUCCUACGGGAGGCAGCAGUGGGGAAUCUUGCGCAAUGGGCGAAAGCCUGACGCAGCAACGCCGCGUGGGGGACGAAGGCUCUCGGGUUGUAAACCCCCUUUCAGGAGGGACGAAAUUGACGGUACCUCCAGAAGAAGCCCCGGCCAACUACGUGCCAGCAGCCGCGGUAAU